GACGAACGCUGGCGGCGUGCCUAAUACAUGCAAGUAGAACGCUGAAGGAGGAGCUUGCUUCUCUGGAUGAGUUGCGAACGGGUGAGUAACGCGUAGGUAACCUGCCUGGUAGCGGGGGAUAACUAUUGGAAACGAUAGCUAAUACCGCAUAAGAGUAGAUGUUGCAUGACAUUUACUUAAAAGGUGCAAUUGCAUCACUACCAGAUGGACCUGCGUUGUAUUAGCUAGUUGGUGAGGUAACGGCUCACCAAGGCAACGAUACAUAGCCGACCUGAGAGGGUGAUCGGCCACACUGGGACUGAGACACGGCCCAGACUCCUACGGGAGGCAGCAGUAGGGAAUCUUCGGCAAUGGACGGAAGUCUGACCGAGCAACGCCGCGUGAGUGAAGAAGGUUUUCGGAUCGUAAAGCUCUGUUGUAAGAGAAGAACGAGUGUGAGAGUGGAAAGUUCACACUGUGACGGUAGCUUACCAGAAAGAGACGGCUAACUACGUG
This 495-nucleotide ribosomal RNA is filed under the name uncultured bacterium. Its description in RNAcentral is "partial 16S ribosomal RNA". It matches the Rfam family "Bacterial small subunit ribosomal RNA", at positions 28 to 507 of the family's 1533-position model. The record is from RNAcentral.